This 194-nucleotide ribosomal RNA is filed under the name uncultured bacterium. RNAcentral describes it as "partial 16S ribosomal RNA". It matches the Rfam family "Bacterial small subunit ribosomal RNA", at positions 338 to 524 of the family's 1533-position model. The record is from RNAcentral.
CCUACGGGAGGCAGCAGUGGGGAAUAUUGGACAAUGGGCGCAAGCCUGAUGCAGCCAUGCCGCGUGUAUGAAGAAGGCCUUCGGGUUGUAAAGCACUUUCAGCGGGGAGGAAGGCGAUGCGGUUAAUAACCGCGUCGAUUGACGUUACCCGCAGAAGAAGCACCGGCUAACUCCGUGCCAGCAGCCGCGGUAAU